AGCGAACGCUGGCGGCGUGCCUAACACAUGCAAGUCGAACGUGAAAGGGAGCAAUUCCAAGUUAUGUGGCGUACGGGUGAGUAACACGUAAGUAAUCUACCCCAGAAUCUGGAAUAACCGGCCGAAAGGCUGGCUAAUACUGGAUAGAGCGACGGAAUCCGUAAUUGGGUUUUUCGGGAAAGGGAGCCUGUAAAAAGGCCUUCGUUCUGGGAUGAGCCUGCGUUCCAUCAGCUAGUUGGUGAGGUAAAUGCUUACCAAGGCAAUGAGGGGUAGCUGGUCGGAGAGGACGAUCGGCCACACUGGAACUGAAACACGGUCCAGACUCCUACGGGAGGCAGCAGUAGGGAAUCUUGCGCAAUGGGCGAAAGUCUGACGGAGCAACGCCGCGUGAGUGAAGAAGGCCUUCGGGUUGUAAAGCUCUGUCGAGUGGGACGAAAAUGCUUGGAGUUAACAGCGCCAGGAAUUAAGGGUACCACUAAAGAAGGCACGGGCUACCACCGU
RNAcentral lists this ribosomal RNA (501 nucleotides) under uncultured bacterium. RNAcentral's name for it is "partial 16S ribosomal RNA". It matches the Rfam family "Bacterial small subunit ribosomal RNA", at positions 29 to 506 of the family's 1533-position model. The record is from RNAcentral.